UACGUAGGUGGCAAGCGUUGUCCGGAUUUAUUGGGUUUAAAGGGUGCGUAGGCGGUCUUAUAAGUCAGUGCUGAAAUAUCCCGGCUUAACCGGGAGGGUGGCAUUGAUACUGUAGGACUUGAGUAGAGUUGAGGUUGGCGGAAUUGACGGUGUAGCGGUGAAAUGCGUAGAGAUCGGGAGGAAUACCUAUGGCGAAAGCAGGCUUCUGGGCCAUCACUGACACUGAUCUGCGAAAGCUAGGGGAGCAAACAGG
This 253-nucleotide ribosomal RNA is filed under the name uncultured bacterium. Its description in RNAcentral is "partial 16S ribosomal RNA". It matches the Rfam family "Bacterial small subunit ribosomal RNA", at positions 524 to 776 of the family's 1533-position model. The record is from RNAcentral.